RNAcentral lists this transfer RNA (72 nucleotides) under Chloroflexota bacterium. RNAcentral describes it as "Chloroflexi bacterium (hydrothermal vent metagenome) tRNA-Cys". It matches the Rfam family "tRNA". From Rfam's summary of the family: Transfer RNA (tRNA) molecules are approximately 80 nucleotides in length. Their secondary structure includes four short double-helical elements and three loops (D, anti-codon, and T loops). Further hydrogen bonds mediate the characteristic L-shaped molecular structure. tRNAs have two regions of fundamental functional importance: the anti-codon, which is responsible for specific mRNA codon recognition, and the 3' end, to which the tRNAs corresponding amino acid is attached (by aminoacyl-tRNA synthetases). tRNAs cope with the degeneracy of the genetic code in two manners: having more than one tRNA (with a specific anti-codon) for a particular amino acid; and 'wobble' base-pairing, i.e. permitting non-standard base-pairing at the 3rd anti-codon position. The record is from RNAcentral. Lineage: Bacteria; Bacillati; Chloroflexota.
GGCGACGUAGCCAAGUGGGAAGGCAGGGGCCUGCAAAGCCCUGAUUCGCGGGUUCGAAUCCCGCCGUCGCCU